This 887-nucleotide long non-coding RNA is filed under the name Phascolarctos cinereus (koala). RNAcentral describes it as "lncRNA (ENSPCIG00000023140.2)". The record is from RNAcentral. Lineage: Eukaryota; Metazoa; Chordata; Mammalia; Diprotodontia; Phascolarctidae.
GCACUCUAUUCACUGUGCCACAUAGCUGCCUGAUAUGCCACAUAACACAUAUAAAGUUGAUAAAAGGCAACAUGUGGUAAGGGUAAACAAAGUGUUCUUGAGGAGAAAUGACUUUUAACUGAGCCUUCAAACUUUUAUAGAGGAAGUGAUGCCUGAGCAGAGCUUUAAAGAAAAAGAUUUUUCAAUAGGAAAAAAAUGAGUGGAAAGGAGAAGAUAAAUAAAAACCCAAAUGUCCCUGGAAGACUUUUCCAGUCCCCUCCAACAGUAACAGCCACCCUCAACCAGGCAGGAUGAUGUCAUCAGCUCCCUCAUAAUGGCUAGGUUGGGGAGUGGAGGAUGACCUAACAGAAGGACUUAUUGUAAGCAAAGCCUCCAAGAGUGAGAUACCCAGGACUACAGGCACAGACAACAGGAGGUACCGGCACUCGCCCCACGGAAAGGUCGACCUCAGCAUAGAGCCAACAUCAAGGAGUAGGGCUGUGACCAAACAUAUUCCAAAGCUGGGGGCAGUGUGUCAGUUACCAAUGGAAAAAUCAUCUGGUUCCUCGCCUUCUGAGAGGCUCAGAAAUCACCACUCUGAGAGAAGAGGGAACCAAGGUAGCAGUGGAAGGCACGCCAGCUACGACUCUAGUAACCAACAGCAGACGCCGAGGAAAUGCCGGGGGGGCACAUCCUAUUCCCAGAAACAAACCGAGGAGAGACAGACCAUAAACAGCAGAUUGGGGGACCAAUCCAAUCAAUCUGAACAGGAGACAGUAGAACUCAUGCCUACAAAGAGACCUCGACAUCAUUACACCGGAACAUCAGGAUCGAGAAGGAAAGGCAGGCACAGCACUUCGCACAAGAGAAGUUCCAAGAAAAGGUCAAAAGGGAGAGGCCAAAAAUAG